This is a non-coding RNA of Cicer arietinum (chickpea), 118 nucleotides long. Lineage: Eukaryota; Viridiplantae; Streptophyta; Magnoliopsida; Fabales; Fabaceae. The record is from RefSeq and is a predicted model, not a curated record.
GCACUGAAAUAUCAUAUCUCAUAUUUAUAGGAGAUGAUUGAGUUGCUCAAAUCUGAGCUACAUUUUGGACUAUGAUGUGCUUAACUUGGAAGUGCCAACACUUCCUAUUGUUGGAUCA